This 497-nucleotide ribosomal RNA is filed under the name uncultured bacterium. RNAcentral's name for it is "partial 16S ribosomal RNA". It matches the Rfam family "Bacterial small subunit ribosomal RNA", at positions 28 to 507 of the family's 1533-position model. The record is from RNAcentral.
GAUGAACGCUGGCGGCGUGCCUAAUACAUGCAAGUCGAGCGAACAGACGAGGAGCUUGCUCCUCUGAUGUUAGCGGCGGACGGGUGAGUAACACGUGGAUAACCUACCUAUAAGACUGGGAUAACUUCGGGAAACCGGAGCUAAUACCGGAUAACAUGUUGAACCGCAUGGUUCAACAGUGAAAGACGGUCUUGCUGUCACUUAUAGAUGGAUCCGCGCCGCAUUAGCUAGUUGGUAAGGUAACGGCUUACCAAGGCAACGAUGCGUAGCCGACCUGAGAGGGGGAUCGGACAGACGGGAAGUGAGACACAGUGGAGACACGGAUGGGGAGCAGCGGUAGGGAAUCUUACGGAAUGAGCGAAAUGGUGACAGUGGAACACCGGGGAAGGGAAGAAGGUCUACGGAUCAGUGAAUUCUGUAGGUAUGGAAGAAGAAAAGCUUCUUGAACCAUGAUGAUAUUGACGGUACCGAACGAGAAAGCCACGGCUAACUACGUG